GUCUAUGGCCAUGCCACUCUGAACUAAGCCUAAUCCUGUCUGAUCUGGAAGCUAAGCAGGGGCGGGCCUGGUUAGUACUUGGAUGGAAGACCACUUAGGAAGAGCAGGUGCUGUAGGCG
This is a ribosomal RNA of Pteropus vampyrus (large flying fox), 119 nucleotides long. NCBI's taxonomy places the organism in Eukaryota, Metazoa, Chordata, Mammalia, Chiroptera, Pteropodidae. The record is from Ensembl.